Molecule: ribosomal RNA, 492 nt
Filed under: uncultured bacterium
Lineage: Bacteria
Description: partial 16S ribosomal RNA
Rfam family: Bacterial small subunit ribosomal RNA
Source: RNAcentral
AGUGAACGCUGGCGGUAGGCCUAACACAUGCAAGUCGAACGGCAGCACAGUAAGAGCUUGCUCUUACGGGUGGCGAGUGGCGGACGGGUGAGGAAUACAUCGGAAUCUACUUUUUCGUGGGGGAUAACGUUGGGAAACUUACGCUAAUACCGCAUACGACCUACGGGUGAAAGCAGGGGAUCUUCGGACCUUGCGCGAUUGAAUGAGCCGAUGUCGGAUUAGCUAGUUGGCGGGGUAAAGGCCCACCAAGGCGACGAUCCGUAGCUGGUCUGAGAGGAUGAUCAGCCACACUGGAACUGAGACACGGUCCAGACUCCUACGGGAGGCAGCAGUGGGGAAUAUUGGACAAUGGGCGCAAGCCUGAUCCAGCCAUACCGCGUGGGUGAAGAAGGCCUUCGGGUUGUAAAGCCCUUUUGUUGGGAAAGAAAAGCAGCAGGUUAAUACCCCGCUGUUCUGACGGUACCCAAAGAAUAAGCACCGGCUAACUUCGUG